CUCCCAACUGCCUUCAGACUGGCGCUGCUGGACUUAAACAGAUUUUUGCUCAACUCUGAAAGUGUUUGCUCUUGCCUCAGUUUCCCUUUUAACAGGAGAUACUAUAGCACAGUUCCUGGCUCAGCAAAUGUUACCUAUUUUUAAUGCCCAUGUCUGUGAUCUUUUAAAAAAAUGUACACAAACAUUUAUAUAGCAGUUUCAAAAGUAAACGUAAUAGUUACAGUAUUCACAACAACAAACAUGCACACACACAGAAGCAUGGAAGGGAGGAACUGCAUUAAAAUCAUAACUGUGCUUACUUUCAGAGUGGAUUAUUGCUGAUCCAUCUUUCUACCAUGCUUGUCUUUAUUCCUACAGUGAACAUGAAUUACUUUUGUAAUAAGAAACACAUUAUUCUUUACAGAGCUGCAGGAAUCAAUCCCAAGAAGAUCUGCUAUCUGUCCUUUUUCUCAUACCUCCUCAAACAUGGAUUCAAGAAGCUCCAACAUCAGCCCUUGUUCUCACUGCCCCCGACCCCCGCCAUGUGGAUUCAUUUAAAUUGGGGACUUUAUGGCCACCCCUCCUGGUUCUUUCUGGGCAGAGGGAGAAGCACAUUUGCAUUCUGGAUGGCUCAAGAGACCAGGCUUUUGUUCUCAUUUUCAUGA
Molecule: long non-coding RNA, 644 nt
Filed under: Bos indicus x Bos taurus (hybrid cattle)
Lineage: Eukaryota; Metazoa; Chordata; Mammalia; Artiodactyla; Bovidae
Description: lncRNA (ENSBIXG00005027096.1)
Source: RNAcentral